RNAcentral lists this ribosomal RNA (446 nucleotides) under uncultured bacterium. RNAcentral describes it as "partial 16S ribosomal RNA". It matches the Rfam family "Bacterial small subunit ribosomal RNA", at positions 338 to 795 of the family's 1533-position model. The record is from RNAcentral.
CCUACGGGCGGCAGCAGUCGAGAAUCAUUCACAAUGGGGGAAACCCUGAUGGUGCGACGCCGCGUGGGGGAAUGAAGGUCUUCGGAUUGUAAACCCCUGUCAUGUGGGAGCAAAUUAAAAAGAUAGUACCACAAGAGGAAGAGACGGCUAACUCUGUGCCAGCAGCCGCGGUAAUCCAGAGGUCUCAAGCGUUGUUCGGAAUCACUGGGCGUAAAGCGUGCGUAGGCUGUUUCGUAAGUCGUGUGUGAAAGGCGCGGGCUCAACCCGCGGACGGCACAUGAUACUGCGAGACUAGAGUAAUGGAGGGGGAACCGGAAUUCUCGGUGUAGCAGUGAAAUGCGUAGAUAUCGAGAGGAACACUCGUGGCGAAGGCGGGUUCCUGGACAUUAACUGACGCUGAGGCACGAAGGCCAGGGGAGCGAAAGGGAUUAGAUACCCCAGUAGUC